GGGUUGUGAGGUUAAGCGACUAAGCGUACACGGUGGAUGCCCUGGCAGUCAGAGGCGAUGAAGGACGUGCUAAUCUGCGAUAAGCGUCGGUGAGGUGAUAUGAACCGUUAUAACCGGCGAUUUCCGAAUGGGGAAACCCAGUGUGUUUCGACACACUAUCAUUAACUGAAUCCAUAGGUUAAUGAGGCGAACCGGGGGAACUGAAACAUCUAAGUACCCCGAGGAAAAGAAAUCAACCGAGAUUCCCCCAGUAGCGGCGAGCGAACGGGGAGGAGCCCAGAGCCUGAAUCAGUGUGUGUGUUAGUGGAAGCGUCUGGAAAGGCGUGCGAUACAGGGUGACAGCCCCGUACACAAAAAUGCACAUAUUGUGAGCUCGAUGAGUAGGGCGGGACACGUGGUAUCCUGUCUGAAUAUGGGGGGACCAUCCUCCAAGGCUAAAUACUCCUGACUGACCGAUAGUGAACCAGUACCGUGAGGGAAAGGCGAAAAGAACCCCGGCGAGGGGAGUGAAAAAGAACCUGAAACCGUGUACGUACAAGCAGUGGGAGCCUCUUAAUGGGGUGACUGCGUACCUUUUGUAUAAUGGGUCAGCGACUUAUAUUCUGUAGCAAGGUUAACCGAAUAGGGGAGCCGAAGGGAAACUGAGUCUUAACUGGGCGUUAAGUUGCAGGGUAUAGACCCGAAACCCGGUGAUCUAGCCAUGGGCAGGUUGAAGGUUGGGUAACACUAACUGGAGGACCGAACCGACUAAUGUUGAAAAAUUAGCGGAUGACUUGUGGCUGGGGGUGAAAGGCCAAUCAAACCGGGAGAUAGCUGGUUCUCCCCGAAAGCUAUUUAGGUAGCGCCUCGUGAAUUCAUCUCCGGGGGUAGAGCACUGUUUCGGCAAGGGGGUCAUCCCGACUUACCAACCCGAUGCAAACUGCGAAUACCGGAGAAUGUUAUCACGGGAGACACACGGCGGGUGCUAACGUCCGUCGUGAAGAGGGAAACAACCCAGACCGCCAGCUAAGGUCCCAAAGUCAUGGUUAAGUGGGAAACGAUGUGGGAAGGCCCAGACAGCCAGGAUGUUGGCUUAGAAGCAGCCAUCAUUUAAAGAAAGCGUAAUAGCUCACUGGUCGAGUCGGCCUGCGCGGAAGAUGUAACGGGGCUAAACCAUGCACCGAAGCUGCGGCAGCGACACUAUGUGUUGUUGGGUAGGGGAGCGUUCUGUAAGCCUGUGAAGGUGGCCUGUGAGGGUUGCUGGAGGUAUCAGAAGUGCGAAUGCUGACAUAAGUAACGAUAAAGCGGGUGAAAAGCCCGCUCGCCGGAAGACCAAGGGUUCCUGUCCAACGUUAAUCGGGGCAGGGUGAGUCGACCCCUAAGGCGAGGCCGAAAGGCGUAGUCGAUGGGAAACAGGUUAAUAUUCCUGUACUUGGUGUUACUGCGAAGGGGGGACGGAGAAGGCUAUGUUGGCCGGGCGACGGUUGUCCCGGUUUAAGCGUGUAGGCUGGUUUUCCAGGCAAAUCCGGAAAACCAAGGCUGAGGCGUGAUGACGAGGCACUACGGUGCUGAAGCGACAAAUGCCCUGCUUCCAGGAAAAGCCUCUAAGCAUCAGGUAACAUCAAAUCGUACCCCAAACCGACACAGGUGGUCAGGUAGAGAAUACCAAGGCGCUUGAGAGAACUCGGGUGAAGGAACUAGGCAAAAUGGUGCCGUAACUUCGGGAGAAGGCACGCUGAUAUGUAGGUGAAGCGACUUGCUCGUGGAGCUGAAAUCAGUCGAAGAUACCAGCUGGCUGCAACUGUUUAUUAAAAACACAGCACUGUGCAAACACGAAAGUGGACGUAUACGGUGUGACGCCUGCCCGGUGCCGGAAGGUUAAUUGAUGGGGUUAGCGGCAACGCGAAGCUCUUGAUCGAAGCCCCGGUAAACGGCGGCCGUAACUAUAACGGUCCUAAGGUAGCGAAAUUCCUUGUCGGGUAAGUUCCGACCUGCACGAAUGGCGUAAUGAUGGCCAGGCUGUCUCCACCCGAGACUCAGUGAAAUUGAACUCGCUGUGAAGAUGCAGUGUACCCGCGGCAAGACGGAAAGACCCCGUGAACCUUUACUAUAGCUUGACACUGAACAUUGAGCCUUGAUGUGUAGGAUAGGUGGGAGGCUUUGAAGUGUGGACGCCAGUCUGCAUGGAGCCGACCUUGAAAUACCACCCUU
This 2190-nucleotide ribosomal RNA is filed under the name Escherichia coli. RNAcentral describes it as "partial 23S ribosomal RNA". It matches the Rfam family "Bacterial large subunit ribosomal RNA", at positions 1 to 2207 of the family's 2925-position model. Lineage: Bacteria; Pseudomonadati; Pseudomonadota; Gammaproteobacteria; Enterobacterales; Enterobacteriaceae. The record is from RNAcentral.